AAGGGGUGGAAAAGAGCGGACAGGGCUUGUGUCCCUGCUACUUUCACGGCUGGCCUCCCGACUGCACCCCUGACUCACACUAGGCCGAGGAAUGCGGCUGCCUCGUGCUAGUAUGAUUCAGGGUACAGACAAACAGCAGCACAGAAGGGAGAAGACAUAAGAAAAGAAAGCAACAUGCUG
Cygnus olor (mute swan) is the source of this 180-nucleotide long non-coding RNA. RefSeq lists it as uncharacterized. The transcript has 3 exons. NCBI's taxonomy places the organism in Eukaryota, Metazoa, Chordata, Aves, Anseriformes, Anatidae. The record is from RefSeq and is a predicted model, not a curated record.